Molecule: ribosomal RNA, 1256 nt
Filed under: Macrosaldula sp. PJ-2017
Lineage: Eukaryota; Metazoa; Arthropoda; Insecta; Hemiptera; Saldidae
Description: 16S ribosomal RNA
Rfam family: Archaeal large subunit ribosomal RNA (bases 827-1182)
Source: RNAcentral
UAAACAUAUUAUUAUUAUUUUUUUUAUUUUUAAUUUUUUAAAAAAAAUAAUUUUUAUUUUUAGUAGUUUUUAGCGAAAGAAAAUUUUUUGUUAUAGUUAAUUUUACUGUAAAGGUUAUUUUUAAUUUUAGAAAAAGUACUUUUUGUUUAGGGUACCUUUUGUAUCAGGGUUGAUCAAUUUAAUUUUAUUUAUAUAAUUUUCCCGAAAUUAGAAGAUUUAAGUUGCUAUGUUAUUUAAUGUUUCAAAAUUAUUAAUAAUAGUAAUUUGGGUGUGAAAUAUAAUUCAUUUCUAAUAUAUCUGGUUGUUUAAUAAUUAAAUUUAAUUUAGGAAUGUAUUUUUAAUUAUUAAUUUUAUUAUAGUUAUUUUAUAUAUUCUAAUAUCACUGGGGAUAAGCUCGGUUUUAUUUCUAAAAGUUUUUUAUAAGAAAAGUUUUGUAGGAUUAAUAACAUUCAUCAUUUAUUUCGUUAUAGUUAAUAUUUUUAUAAUAUUUAUUUAUUAAAACUUUAGAAUUUUAUUAAAUUUAUAAUUUAAAUUAUUUUAAUUUUGUAAUAAUGAUUAAAUUAGUAUUUAUGAUAGAUAAAGUUUAGUAAUUCGGCAAAUAUUAUUUCCGCCUGUUUAACAAAAACAUGUCCUUUUGAUUUUUAUAUGAGGUCGGGCCUGCCCAAUGAUUUUAUUUAAUGGCCGCAGUAUCCUAACUGUGCAAAGGUAGCAUAAUCAUUUGUCUUUUAAUUGAAGGCUGGUAUGAAUGGUUUGACGAGAAAUAUACUUUCUUUUCUUUAUUUUAUAAAAUUUAAUUUUUAAGUUAAAAAGCUUAAAUUUAUUUAUUGGACGAGAAGACCCUAUAGAGCUUUAUAAAAUUUUAUUUAUUUUAUUUUUGGUUAUUUAAUAUUAAAUAUUUAACUUUUUAUUCCGUUGGGGUGACGUAAAAAAUUGUAUAACUUUUUAUUAUUUUUUCACAAAUUAGUGUUUUUUUGAUCCAUUAUUAAUGAUUAUAAGAUUAAGCUACCUUAGGGAUAACAGCGUAAUUCUUUUGGAGAGUUGUUAUCGAUAAAAGAGUUUGCGACCUCGAUGUUGGAUUAAAGUAAGUAUUAGGUGUAGCCGCUUAAUUACUAGGUCUGUUCGACCUUUAAAUCUUUACAUGAUCUGAGUUCAGACCGGCGUGAGCCAGGUUGGUUUCUAUCCUUAAUUUUUUAAAAAUACUUUAGUACGAAAGGGCCAAGUAUUUGAAAUAUUUUUUAUAUUUUUGAUUAAUAUUA